This 172-nucleotide ribosomal RNA is filed under the name Amanita castanea. RNAcentral's name for it is "partial 28S ribosomal RNA". It matches the Rfam family "Eukaryotic large subunit ribosomal RNA", at positions 1 to 169 of the family's 3401-position model. The record is from RNAcentral. Lineage: Eukaryota; Fungi; Basidiomycota; Agaricomycetes; Agaricales; Amanitaceae.
UUGACCUCAAAUCAGGUAGGACUACCCGCUGAACUUAAGCAUAUCAAUAAGCGGAGGAAAAGAAACUAACAAGGAUUCCCUUAGUAACUGCGAGUGAAGAGGGAAAAGCUCAAAUUUAAAAUCUGGCAGUGUUUCGCUGUCCGAGUUGUAACCUAGAGAAGUGUAACCUGUG